GACGAACGCUGGCGGCGUGCUUAACACAUGCGAGUCGAACGGAAAGGCCCUGCUUUUGUGGGGUGCUCGAGUGGCGAACGGGUGAGUAACACGUGAGUAACCUGCCCUUGACUUUGGGAUAACUUCAGGAAACUGGGGCUAAUACCGGAUAGGAGCUCCUGCUGCAUGGUGGGGGUUGGAAAGUUUCGGCGGUUGGGGAUGGACUCGCGGCUUAUCAGCUUGUUGAUGGGGUAGUGGCUUACCAAGGCUUUGACGGGUAGCCGGCCUGAGAGGGUGACCGGCCACAUUGGGACUGAGAUACGGCCCAGACUCCUACGGGAGGCAGCAGUGGGGAAUAUUGCACAAUGGGCGGAAGCCUGAUGCAGCAACGCCGCGUGCGGGAUGACGGCCUUCGGGUUGUAAACCGCUUUCGCCUGUGACGAAGCGUGAGUGACGGUAAUGGGUAAAGAAGCACCGGCUAACUACGUG
This 468-nucleotide ribosomal RNA is filed under the name uncultured bacterium. Its description in RNAcentral is "partial 16S ribosomal RNA". It matches the Rfam family "Bacterial small subunit ribosomal RNA", at positions 28 to 507 of the family's 1533-position model. The record is from RNAcentral.